CCUACGGGGGGCAGCAGUGAGGAAUAUUGGUCAAUGGCCGGAAGGCUGAACCAGCCAAGCCGCGUGAAGGACGAAGGUGCCAAGCAUUGUAAACUUCUUUUGUCAAGGGACAAAAUCAGGCACGAGAGCCGGACCGAGGGUACUUGAAGAAAAAGCAUCGGCUAACUCCGUGCCAGCAGCCGCGGUAAUACGGAGGAUGCGAGCGUUAUCCGGAUUUAUUGGGUUUAAAGGGUGCGUAGGCGGAUUGUUAAGUCAGCGGUAAAAGCCCGGGGCUCAACCCCGGCGAGCCGUUGAAACUGGGUGACUUGAGUUGUCGAGAGGUAUGCGGAAUGCGUGGUGUAGCGGUGAAAUGCUUAGAUAUUGCGAAGAACUCCGAUUGCGAAGGCAGCAUACCGGCGGUGAUCUGACGCUGAGGCACGAAAGCGUGGGUAUCGAACAGGAUUAGAUACCCCGGUAGUC
RNAcentral lists this ribosomal RNA (459 nucleotides) under uncultured bacterium. Its description in RNAcentral is "partial 16S ribosomal RNA". It matches the Rfam family "Bacterial small subunit ribosomal RNA", at positions 338 to 795 of the family's 1533-position model. The record is from RNAcentral.